AUUCCCUAAGCUCUAAUUUCUAUCUCAAAACUCUGCUAAAAUUUUCGUUCGAGCACUCCAUUCUUGUUGAGGCAGAGAACUGACUUGAGUGUCGGAGGGUCUUGCCGGAGCACCCCCAACUCCGGUUUAGACUUCCUUUGCAGGUCCCGACGGCGACCGCGACUCCCUCGACUCCAGCUUCUCCGACGCAGGCGGAUUUUUUUACCAACACAUUCAUUUUUUAUUUUACAAAAUACUUCAAUUUCUUUUCUUUUAAUUCUUGUUCAAAUGAUUUCAUCCUUGCUUUAAUAUCAAAAUAAGAAAAAGAGAAAGAAAUAUUCCUUUCACAUUUAUUGCUCUGAUACUAAAAACAAGAAAGAAAAGAA
This 365-nucleotide long non-coding RNA is filed under the name Elaeis guineensis (African oil palm). Its description in RNAcentral is "long non-coding RNA (EGUI_LNC048988)". The record is from RNAcentral. Lineage: Eukaryota; Viridiplantae; Streptophyta; Magnoliopsida; Arecales; Arecaceae.